This 30-nucleotide non-coding RNA is filed under the name Homo sapiens (human). Lineage: Eukaryota; Metazoa; Chordata; Mammalia; Primates; Hominidae. The record is from RNAcentral.
UGGGACAUGAAAUGUGUAAACUGCAACGCG